This 95-nucleotide ribosomal RNA is filed under the name Campylobacter jejuni. Its description in RNAcentral is "partial 23S ribosomal RNA". The stretch from base 1 to 85 matches the Rfam family "Bacterial large subunit ribosomal RNA", at positions 2841 to 2925 of the family's 2925-position model. Lineage: Bacteria; Pseudomonadati; Campylobacterota; Epsilonproteobacteria; Campylobacterales; Campylobacteraceae. The record is from RNAcentral.
AAGACUACUAGUUUGAUAGGCUGGGUGUGUAAUGGAUGAAAGUCCUUUAGCUGACCAGUACUAAUAGAGCGUUUGGCUUAUCUUUAAUAAAGCAU